RNAcentral lists this ribosomal RNA (253 nucleotides) under uncultured bacterium. RNAcentral describes it as "partial 16S ribosomal RNA". It matches the Rfam family "Bacterial small subunit ribosomal RNA", at positions 524 to 776 of the family's 1533-position model. The record is from RNAcentral.
GACGAACCGUGCGAACGUUGUUCGGAAUCACUGGGCUUAAAGGGCGCGUAGGCGGGCCGUCAAGUCUGGGGUGAAAUGCCGCGGCUCAACCGUGGAACUGCCUUAGAUACUGACGGCCUCGAGGAAGGUAGGGGCAUGCGGAACUGUAGGUGGAGCGGUGAAAUGCGUUGAUAUCUACAGGAACUCCGGUGGCGAAAGCGGCGUGCUGGACCUUUUCUGACGCUGAGGCGCGAAAGCUAGGGGAGCAAACGGG